GUAGGUGAACCUGCGGAGGGAUCAUUACACAAAUAUGAAGGCGGGCUGGAACCUCUCGGGGUUACAGCCUUGCUGAAUUAUUCACCCUUGUCUUUUGCGUACUUCUUGUUUCCUUGGUGGGUUCGCCCACCACUAGGACAAACAUAAACCUUUUGUAAUUGCAAUCAGCGUCAGUAACAAAUUAAUAAUUACAACUUUCAACAACGGAUCUCUUGGUUCUGGCAUCGAUGAAGAACGCAGCAUCUGACUG
RNAcentral lists this unclassified non-coding RNA (250 nucleotides) under plant metagenome. RNAcentral describes it as "partial contains small subunit ribosomal RNA, internal transcribed spacer 1, and 5.8S ribosomal RNA". The stretch from base 193 to 250 matches the Rfam family "5.8S ribosomal RNA", at positions 1 to 55 of the family's 154-position model. The record is from RNAcentral.